GAUUUCAUUGGUCUAGAAGCUCUGAGAUAGAGCAAGUCAAAAUCAUCUCUCUGCAUCUAGUGGCAUCCUGAACACAGAGAGGAGAGCUCUACUGUUUUGUGAACACAUCACAGCUGGGGGUCCUGUGCUUUUGCAUUCUUUCCAUGAGUCCAGUAUUACCUGAGAUAUUCUGCAACUUUGGAGCCAAUAACAGAAUCAUGAACUAAAUAAAUUGUUAGAGAAUGAGUUAGCAUUUUCAGCUCCACCCUCCACCCUGUUCUAUGGCCCUGGGCGUGACUUGCUCUUGCCCCUUGCCUUCUGUUUGGAUCCUGCCAAUGAGGACUCCUAGCAGGAGAUGGGGGCUCUCAUAUUUAACUGAAAGGCUCAGCUCCACGCAGCGUUUCUGUCUCCAGCCCACACAGCACGAUGAGAUAAAGACUAGAGGCUGCUCACUGCUGAGAGUGGACCAUCCAGCUCAUUUGGUCACAUAAUUUCCAGCCAGCCACCUUAUGGGCAAGAUUUUGGCUCACCUGUAAGCUAUUAGCUGGUAAGUGCUAACAUAAUCUACCUCCCAGCUGGUGAGUUGUCAAGGGAUAGAAAGAGCUAUGGAUAGAAGAGCUAAAAUCUGCUUGAAGUCACAGCACUGUUUGGGUCAUCUUUGCUGCAGCGCAACCUCUCUGAGCUUCAGUUACCUCACCUAGGUAAUGAUAAUAAUAUCUUCCUAUCUUGUAGACUACUGAGCAGUUUUUCAAACAUCAAUUAUUGCAUUGUAAAAACCUCAGUGACAGGAGUAUAUGGAAUCCUCAGGAUUGAUCACAGUGUUCUGCUUGAUGUUUGCACCUGGGAAAAUGCUUGUGGUUGAUUUUAACCACUCUGAAACAACAGCUCAGGGAAGGACAGCGCAGAAGAGGGAAAAUCUUGAUAGCUCCUUGCCAUUAACCACUUGCUUUCACUACCUAUUGAAAUCACCAGCUUUAAUCGCUUCCUGCAGCAAAUUCCUGGAGAGAAGAGACUAAAAAAAGUGAGAAAACGUGUCUAGAAGUGCCAUCUUGGAUGAUUUUAGGUUAUUAAAUAACAGCCUUACAGAGGGGUUGACUGUCAUGAUUUUAUUGCCGAUUCCAUCCUUGGUUAUAUUUCCCGAAGUUUUAAAAUCAUCUUUCCCCUGCAUUUGUAGAAUUAUCUGAAAUGGCUUGUUAAAAGUAUACAAUGACUAUUAAAGGAUGUCAUUUUAAAAGGCAAAUAGGUAUCUGUCUGGAUACUCAAAUGGUAUCUGCUUAAUGAUCUAAGAAAUUGCUAAGCUGUUUUUUUAAAGUGGCUGUAAUAUUUUGUACUCCUACUAGCAUAGAAUAAUUCCAGUUGCACCACAUCUCUACCAGCACUUGAUAUUGUCAGUCAUUUUAAUUUUAGCCACUCUAGCUG
This is a long non-coding RNA of Homo sapiens (human), 1398 nucleotides long. NCBI's taxonomy places the organism in Eukaryota, Metazoa, Chordata, Mammalia, Primates, Hominidae. The record is from Ensembl.